This 85-nucleotide antisense RNA is filed under the name Pseudolactococcus chungangensis CAU 28 = DSM 22330. Its description in RNAcentral is "Lactococcus chungangensis CAU 28 = DSM 22330 ctRNA". It matches the Rfam family "ctRNA". Rfam says of the family: Rolling circle replication plasmids contain a number of mechanisms to maintain a low copy number. One of these methods is to transcribe a small RNA called ctRNA (for counter-transcribed RNA) than is transcribed on the opposite strand to RepB the replication initiation protein. ctRNA binds to the mRNA of repB and causes translational inhibition. Lineage: Bacteria; Bacillati; Bacillota; Bacilli; Lactobacillales; Streptococcaceae. The record is from RNAcentral.
GAGCUAUCUUCUCCUUUGAGGGUAGUGUAAUAGGCAUAGAGAAAGUGAUUUAGUCGUCUAUUUUCUCUAUGUUUUUAUUAUACAA